Molecule: long non-coding RNA, 290 nt
Filed under: Gossypium barbadense (sea-island cotton)
Lineage: Eukaryota; Viridiplantae; Streptophyta; Magnoliopsida; Malvales; Malvaceae
Description: long non-coding RNA (GBAR_LNC017380)
Source: RNAcentral
UUAGGUUCACAAGUUUUAAUUUGAUUUAAUUUUUUUUCUUCCAAUUCUCAAAAAUAAUGAGCAUUGGAUGGUAUCAUAUGUUCCUAGGGAGGCUAAUUAGGUUGCAGAUCGAAUUGCCAAGAUGGUACAUGGAGAUUCAGAGGGUGUUAGCUCCCCCCAACUUGAUCGAGGACAUUGUUAAUGAUAAGUCUAAAGGCUUUUUUAAAUUAGUCAAUGUAAUUUAAUUUCUUGAGUUUUGUUUCCUCUAUCAAUUUUUUUUUCAAAUAAAAUGCAAUUUAAUUCGAAUACAA